RNAcentral lists this ribosomal RNA (464 nucleotides) under uncultured bacterium. Its description in RNAcentral is "partial 16S ribosomal RNA". It matches the Rfam family "Bacterial small subunit ribosomal RNA", at positions 29 to 507 of the family's 1533-position model. The record is from RNAcentral.
ACGAACGCUGGCGGCGUGCUUAACACCUGCACGUCGAACGGAAAGGCCCUGCUUGCAGGGUACUCGAGUGGCGAACGGGUGAGUAACACGUGGGUGAUCUGCCCUGCACUUCGGGAUAAGCCUGGGAAACUGGGUCUAAUACCGGAUAGGAGCCAUUUUUAGUGUGAUGGUUGGAAAGUUUUUUCGGUGUAGGAUGAGCUCGCGGCCUAUCAGCUUGUUGGUGGGGUAAUGGCCUACCAAGGCGGCGACGGGUAGCCGGCCUGAGAGGGUGGACGGCCACAUUGGGACUGAGAUACGGCCCAGACUCCUACGGGAGGCAGCAGUGGGGAAUAUUGCACAAUGGGCGCAAGCCUGAUGCAGCGACGCCGCGUGGGGGAUGACGGCCUUCGGGUUGUAAACUCCUUUCGCUAGGGACGAAGCUUUUUGUGACGGUACCUAGAUAAGAAGCACCGGCUAACUACGUG